GACGAACGCUGGCGGCGUGCUUAACACAUGCAAGUCGAACGCUGAAGCUUAGUGCUUGCACUGGGUGGAUGAGUGGCGAACGGGUGAGUAAUACGUGAGUAACCUGCCCUUGACUCUGGGAUAAGCCUGGGAAACUGGGUCUAAUACUGGAUACGACAUGCCACUGCAUGGUGGUGUGUGGAAAGGGUUUUACUGGUUUUGGAUGGGCUCACGGCCUAUCAGCUUGUUGGUGGGGUAAUGGCCUACCAAGGCGACGACGGGUAGCCGGCCUGAGAGGGUGACCGGCCACACUGGGACUGAGACACGGCCCAGACUCCUACGGGAGGCAGCAGUGGGGAAUAUUGCACAAUGGGCGGAAGCCUGAUGCAGCGACGCCGCGUGAGGGAUGACGGCCUUCGGGUUGUAAACCUCUUUCAGCACGGAAGAAGCGAGAGUGACGGUACGUGCAGAAGAAGCGCCGGCUAACUACGUG
RNAcentral lists this ribosomal RNA (472 nucleotides) under uncultured bacterium. Its description in RNAcentral is "partial 16S ribosomal RNA". It matches the Rfam family "Bacterial small subunit ribosomal RNA", at positions 28 to 507 of the family's 1533-position model. The record is from RNAcentral.